Molecule: unclassified non-coding RNA, 353 nt
Filed under: soil metagenome
Description: partial contains 5.8S ribosomal RNA, internal transcribed spacer 2, and large subunit ribosomal RNA
Rfam family: 5.8S ribosomal RNA (bases 1-120)
Source: RNAcentral
GAUGAAGAACGCAGCGAAAUGCGAUAAGUAAUGUGAAUUGCAGAAUUCCGUGAAUCAUCGAAUCUUUGAACGCACAUUGCGCCCCCUGGCAUUCCGGGGGGCAUGCCUGUCCGAGCGUCAUUUCUGCCCUCCAGCCCGGCUGGGUGUUGGGCGCUGUCCCCCCGGGGACACGCCCCAAAGGCAGUGGCGGCGCCGCGUCGGGUCCUCGAGCGUAUGGGGCUUUGUCACCCGCUCGGGACGGACUCGUCGGCGCUGGUCUUCCUCCAGGCGACCCUUCGGGGCUCGUCUUCCUUCGGUUGACCUCGGAUCAGGUAGGGUUACCCGCUGAACUUAAGCAUAUCAAUAACGGAGGA